CAUCUUCUUCAAGUUACCAGCAGAACCUUACCUCUCUCUAUAGCUGGGGUUUCUUCAACUUUCAAGCUUCAUAUACUUAUCUAGUCACUCGGGGAUCGAAGGAAAUGUCGGAGGCCGAUCACACUAUCAAAGAAAUAACUCGGUAUAACUAGGCGUUUUGUUUUGGGUAUGGCAUGUAUAGAAACUUAGCUACUUUUGGUAUAAUAUGAAUAAUGAAUGAUGUGUAAAUACUUGCUAGUGAUUAGCUAAGAAAAUAGCUGAUGAUAUACAUGUUUAUUAAUAUGUAUGAUUGAAUGAUGAUUAUCACAUGAAAAUUAUGAAAAAUGUGAAAGUAACCUAAAAACA
This is a long non-coding RNA of Gossypium arboreum, 345 nucleotides long. RefSeq lists it as uncharacterized. The transcript has 2 exons. NCBI's taxonomy places the organism in Eukaryota, Viridiplantae, Streptophyta, Magnoliopsida, Malvales, Malvaceae. The record is from RefSeq and is a predicted model, not a curated record.